AAUAGAAGAGAAAAGGGUGCAGUAGCACCCGAUUCUCAUUUUUACAAAAAGACAAAAGGGUUGUCUUUCCUUUUUCUCUCCACCACCUUCGGCAGCCACUUCUGGCGACAUUUCGGUGAGUUUUCUGGCCGUUCAAGGGUUCUCCAAAGUUGAAACUACACCCACACUUCACUUGUCUAAAUAAAAGAGAAGAAUUAAGGUUCAAAUGUGAUUCUUGAACCAAUUCAAGAGUAGACUAUGUUUUCUUGAUUUGGUUAAACUAACAAGUUUCAAGGUUAGUGAAUUUACGUGGAGUAUACGUUGCUUUUGUGGUAAGGGCUUACAAUUCACUUUGAGGUGAGUCUGCUUCUAAUGUAGGUCCUCCAUAUCAAUAGGAAGGGGCGUGAUCAUGGUGGCAUGAGCGGAUGAUUGACUUAUAUUUUGGACUUUGGGUGUCUUUUAUUUGAUUGAAUACAUAUUUAUGUAUUAUGAGAUUGUUUCCUCUGGAUUUAUGUUGGAUAACCAAGAGGGUGCUCCGGAUUAUUGGGACUCCUGUGUUGGGUAGUAUGGAGGUGGUUGUGGCCUGUAGGCCCUGAGGGUCUUGAAUUGGAUUGUUUUUUGAUGUUGGAUUAUGUUUGGGUUAUGUUUGGAUAUUAUGCUAUUUUUGGAUUUUCUAUCUACGUGUAGGAUGACAUUCUCCAAUUUAUGGGGAGAUGUUGUCCGAUUUUCUUCUUGUUUUA
Long non-coding RNA from Tripterygium wilfordii, 719 nucleotides. RefSeq lists it as uncharacterized. The transcript is spliced from 4 exons. The record is from RefSeq and is a predicted model, not a curated record. NCBI's taxonomy places the organism in Eukaryota, Viridiplantae, Streptophyta, Magnoliopsida, Celastrales, Celastraceae.